UGCAGUCGAACGGCAGCACGGGGGCAACCCUGGUGGCGAGUGGCGAACGGGUGAGUAAUAUAUCGGAACGUACCCUGGAGUGGGGGAUAACGUAGCGAAAGUUACGCUAAUACCGCAUACGAUCUAAGGAUGAAAGUGGGGGAUGCGCAAGCACCUCAUGCUCCUGGAGCGGCCGAUAUCUGAUUAGCUAGUUGGUGGGGUAAAGGCCUACCAAGGCAUCGAUCAGUAGCUGGUCUGAGAGGACGACCAGCCACACUGGAACUGAGACACGGUCCAGACUCCUACGGGAGGCAGCAGUGGGGAAUUUUGGACAAUGGGCGAAAGCCUGAUCCAGCAAUGCCGCGUGAGUGAAGAAGGCCUUCGGGUUGUAAAGCUCUUUUGUCAGGGAAGAAACGGUGAGAGCUAAUAUCUCUUGCUAAUGACGGUACCUGAAGAAUAAGCACCGGCUAACUACGUGCCAGCAGCCGCGGUAAUACGUAGGGUGCAAGCGUUAAUCGGAAUUACUGGGCGUAAAGCGUGCGCAGGCGGUUUUGUAAGUCUGUCGUGAAAUCCCCGGGCUCAACCUGGGAAUUGCGAUGGAGACUGCAAGGCUAGAAUCUGGCAGAGGGGGGUAGAAUUCCACGUGUAGCAGUGAAAUGCGUAGAGAUGUGGAGGAACACCGAUGGCGAAGGCAGCCCCCUGGGUCAAGAUUGACGCUCACGCACGAAAG
RNAcentral lists this ribosomal RNA (709 nucleotides) under uncultured bacterium. Its description in RNAcentral is "bacterial SSU rRNA". It matches the Rfam family "Bacterial small subunit ribosomal RNA", at positions 56 to 759 of the family's 1533-position model. The record is from RNAcentral.